AGAAUCAACGCUGGCGGCGUGCCUAACACAUGCAAGUCGAACGAGAAAGUGGAGCAAUCCAUGAGUAAGGUGGCGCACGGGUGAGUAACACGUGACUAACCUACCCUUGAGUGGGGGAUAACCUAGAGAAAUCUGGGCUAAUACCGCAUAAUACCUUCGGGUCAAAGGAGCAAUUCGCUUAAGGAGGGGGUCGCGGCCGAUUAGUUAGUUGGCGGGGUAAUGGCCCACCAAGACUAUGAUCGGUA
Molecule: ribosomal RNA, 245 nt
Filed under: uncultured bacterium
Lineage: Bacteria
Description: partial small subunit ribosomal RNA
Rfam family: Bacterial small subunit ribosomal RNA
Source: RNAcentral